GUCGGGAUGGCGGAGUGGUCUAACGCGGUGGCCUUAAGCUUUACGUAAUCAAAACGUAGCUUAUAUCCACUCCUUCGGGGCGUGGGUUCGAACCCCACUCCCGACA
Molecule: transfer RNA, 106 nt
Organism: Kwoniella heveanensis BCC8398
Lineage: Eukaryota; Fungi; Basidiomycota; Tremellomycetes; Tremellales; Cryptococcaceae
Rfam family: tRNA
About the family: Transfer RNA (tRNA) molecules are approximately 80 nucleotides in length.
Source: Rfam